RNAcentral lists this ribosomal RNA (253 nucleotides) under uncultured bacterium. RNAcentral's name for it is "partial 16S ribosomal RNA". It matches the Rfam family "Bacterial small subunit ribosomal RNA", at positions 524 to 776 of the family's 1533-position model. The record is from RNAcentral.
UACGUAGGGUCCGAGCGUUGUCCGGAAUUAUUGGGCGUAAAGAGCUCGUAGGCGGUUUGUCGCGUCUGCUGUGAAAUCCCGAGGCUCAACCUCGGGUCUGCAGUGGGUACGGGCAGACUGGAGUGCGGUAGGGGAGAAUGGAAUUCCUGGUGUAGCGGUGAAAUGCGCAGAUAUCAGGAGGAACACCGGUGGCGAAGGCGGGUCUCUGGGCAGUAACUGACGCUGAGGAGCGAAAGCGUGGGGAGCGAACAGG